GACGAACGCUGGCGGCGUGCUUAACACAUGCAAGUCGAACGGAAAGGCCCUGCUUUUGUGGGGUGCUCGAGUGGCGAACGGGUGAGUAACACGUGAGUAACCUGCCCUUGACUUUGGGAUAACUUCAGGAAACUGGGGCUAAUACCGGAUAGGAGCUCCUGCUGCAUGGUGGGGGUUGGAAAGUUUCGGCGGUUGGGGAUGGACUCGCGGCUUAUCAGCUUGUUGGUGGGGUAGUGGCUUACCAAGGCUUUGACGGGUAGCCGGCCUGAGAGGGUGACCGGCCACAUUGGGACUGAGAUACGGCCCAGACUCCUACGGGAGGCAGCAGUGGGGAAUAUUGCACAAUGGGCGGAAGCCUGAUGCAGCAACGCCGCGUGCGGGAUGACGGCCUUCGGGUUGUAAACCGCUUUCGCCUGUGACGAAGCGUGAGUGACGGUAAUGGGUAAAGAAGCACCGGCUAACUACGUGCCAGCAGCCGCGGUGAUACGUAGGGUGCGAGCGUUGUCCGGAUUUAUUGGGCGUAAAGGGCUCGUAGGUGGUUGAUCGCGUCGGAAGUGUAAUCUUGGGGCUUAACCCUGAGCGUGCUUUCGAUACGGGUUGACUUGAGGAAGGUAGGGGAGAAUGGAAUUCCUGGUGGAGCGGUGGAAUGCGCAGAUAUCAGGAGGAACACCAGUGGCGAAGGCGGUUCUCUGGGCCUUUCCUGACGCUGAGGAGCGAAAGCGUGGGGAGCGAACAGGCUUAGAUACCCUGGUAGUCCACGCUGUAAACGGUGGGUACUAGGUGUGGGGUCCAUUCCACGGGUUCCGUGCCGUAGCUAACGCUUUAAGUACCCCGCCUGGGGAGUACGGCCGCAAGGCUAAAACUCAAAGGAAUUGACGGGGCCCCGCACAAGCGGCGGAGCAUGCGGAUUAAUUCGAUGCAACGCGUAGAACCUUACCUGGGUUUGACAUGGAUCGGGAGUACUCAGAGAUGGGUGUGCCUCUUUUGGGGUCGGUUCGCAGGUGGUGCAUGGCUGUCGUCAGCUCGUGUCGUGAGAUGUUGGGUUAAGUCCCGCAACGAGCGCAACCCUUGUUCACUGUUGCCAGCACGUUAUGGUGGGGACUCAGUGGAGACCGCCGGGGUCAACUCGGAGGAAGGUGGGGAUGACGUCAAGUCAUCAUGCCCCUUAUGUCCAGGGCUUCACGCAUGCUACGAUGGCUGGUACAGAGAGUGGCGAGCCUGUGAGGGUGAGCGAAUCUCGAAAAGCCGGUCUCAGUUCGGAUUGGGGUCUGCAACUCGACCUCAUGAAGUCGGAGUCGCUAGUAAUCGCAGAUCAGCAACGCUGCGGUGAAUACGUUCCCGGG
This 1343-nucleotide ribosomal RNA is filed under the name uncultured bacterium. RNAcentral describes it as "16S ribosomal RNA". It matches the Rfam family "Bacterial small subunit ribosomal RNA", at positions 28 to 1378 of the family's 1533-position model. The record is from RNAcentral.